GGGAUUGUAGCUCAAUGGUAGAGUUCAUACCUCACAUGCAGGAGACUCUGGGUUCAAUCCUCAGCAGUACCC
Molecule: transfer RNA, 72 nt
Filed under: Heterocephalus glaber (naked mole-rat)
Lineage: Eukaryota; Metazoa; Chordata; Mammalia; Rodentia; Bathyergidae
Rfam family: tRNA
About the family: Transfer RNA (tRNA) molecules are approximately 80 nucleotides in length. Their secondary structure includes four short double-helical elements and three loops (D, anti-codon, and T loops).
Source: Rfam by way of RNAcentral